AUAACUGCUCAGAAACUAGGAGGAAACUCUGACUGAAACGAAUCUGAUGGCGACUGGUGAGGAAACCAAAGUCCUACCGAAACCACGAAAUGUUCUAACUCUGCUGGAGACCAAAUAUAAAUUUGGAUGGGGAAAAAUCAACCAACUCAGCUGGGGAUGACAGAGAAAUAAUCGUCUGGAGAAAUCAACAAACACCAAGUGUUGAUCAAUGCUGUUGGGGAUGAAAGAGAAAUCGCGCUACUGCUUGAGGAGAACCAAU
This 259-nucleotide long non-coding RNA is filed under the name Lathyrus oleraceus (garden pea). RNAcentral's name for it is "Pisum sativum (pea) long non-coding RNA (PSAT_LNC007041)". The record is from RNAcentral. Lineage: Eukaryota; Viridiplantae; Streptophyta; Magnoliopsida; Fabales; Fabaceae.